This is a long non-coding RNA of Bubalus bubalis (water buffalo), 365 nucleotides long. RefSeq lists it as uncharacterized. The record is from RefSeq and is a predicted model, not a curated record. Lineage: Eukaryota; Metazoa; Chordata; Mammalia; Artiodactyla; Bovidae. The transcript is spliced from 3 exons.
UAUCCACGUCAGAUUUGACAGUUCACACAGAAAUUCCUAACAACAGGCUUGGGGCCGAGGUGGACUUCAUCCAGCUGGACUUGUCAACACGGCCCAUCUGGUGGUCUCUGGCAGCUACCAUGACUUUCUGCAGCCCUCUCCAUACAGCCUAUGACUAAAGACCAGUCAGCAGCGGCUCCCUGACUAAAAGCACGAGCAGAAAGGCUCCCAGCCUCCGGCAGGUAAACAGGUCAGCUUCAAGUAAUCCCUCUUUUCCAGAAGCUGUCCAACUGACUCUUCCACCCACGGUCCUGGUCCACGGCCACUUCUCUCCCUUCAGUAUCAAUUUUGUGGACUAAGCCUACAGAGCAUAAAAUACGGACUAA